RNAcentral lists this ribosomal RNA (405 nucleotides) under uncultured bacterium. RNAcentral describes it as "bacterial SSU rRNA". It matches the Rfam family "Bacterial small subunit ribosomal RNA", at positions 356 to 773 of the family's 1533-position model. The record is from RNAcentral.
GGGGAAUAUUGGACAAUGGGCGGAAGCCUGGUCCAGCAACGCCGCGUGAGGGAUGACGGCCUUCGGGUUGUAAACCUCUUUCAGUACUGACGAAGCGUGAGUGACGGUAGGUACAGAAGAAGCACCGGCCAACUACGUGCCAGCAGCCGCGGUAAUACGUAGGGUGCGAGCGUUGUCCGGAAUUAUUGGGCGUAAAGGGCUCGUAGGCGGGUUGUCGCGUCGGGAGUGAAAACACCGGGCUUAACUCGGUGCUUGCUUUCGAUACGGGCAGACUAGAGGCAUGCAGGGGAGAACGGAAUUCCUGGUGUAGCGGUGAAAUGCGCAGAUAUCAGGAGGAACACCGGUGGCGAAGGCGGUUCUCUGGGCAUGUCCUGACGCUGAGGAGCGAAAGUGUGGGGAGCGAAC